This is a long non-coding RNA of Zingiber officinale, 729 nucleotides long. RefSeq lists it as uncharacterized. The record is from RefSeq and is a predicted model, not a curated record. NCBI's taxonomy places the organism in Eukaryota, Viridiplantae, Streptophyta, Magnoliopsida, Zingiberales, Zingiberaceae. The transcript has 5 exons.
UACUAGAUUUACUUCUCUAAUUUUCCCUUGGCAUUGAGCAAGUUGCCUGUUGCAAUGCCAUUUUCUUUUUCUCUUGCAACUCGAAGAACCUGGUACCCAACUUGAAACCCUAAUCUUGAUCUGGCAUGGGGAGCAGCAAUCUUCCUCCCAGAAUCAUCAAGGAAACCUAGAGAUUACUGAACGAGCGAGGGAUCGUGUUUCUCAUUUUGGGACAUUACCUCUUGGGAUUUUGCUCGUACGAAGGUUCGCUUUCUCACUAAAAUCUACCAUCCAAUAUUGACAAGGGAAGUAAAUAGGCUUCAUAUUUUUCUUCAGAGAUGCUAUUGAUCUCUAUUAAAUAGGUUAAUGAUUCAUACAGCUUGGACGAAUAUGCCUUGCUAUUCUCAAAGACAAGUGGAGUCCAGCACUACAAAUUCGAACAGUAUUGCCGAGCAUUCAAGCACUAUUGAGCGCUCCCAACUCAGAUGGCCCACUGAGAAUAUUGCCCAGCAUUGGAAGCUGAAGCUGAAGCUGUAGAGACAGGUAUGGGGUUAAUUCGUUCCUACCUAUAUAAGCAGUGUCCUCAUCUCUCAUAUUUGGAUGGUGGGAUCUACUCGGAGUCAGUAGGAUCCACCAUCCAAAUGUGAGAGGUGAGGGUACUACCUGUCCAUUUAGGUUGAAAUUUCCCCAGGUGUGGUACUAUCCUUUAAAGUCAAAUACUGUCUAGGAAUUUCAAAAAGCUACCGCUAC